GUGUCAGCCGCCGCGGUAAUACGGAGGGGGCUAGCGUUGUUCGGAAUUACUGGGCGUAAAGGGUGCGUAGGCGGCUAUCCAAGUCAGACGUGAAAGGCCUGGGCUCAACCCGGGAACUGCGUUUGAGACUGGGUGGCUGGAGUCCGGGAGAGGUGAGCGGAAUUCCCAGUGUAGAGGUGAAAUUCGUAGAUAUUGGGAAGAACACCGGUGGCGAAGGCGGCUCACUGGACCGGUACUGACGCUGAGGCACGAAAGCGUGGGGAGCAAACAGGAUUAGAAACCCCCGUAGUCC
This 292-nucleotide ribosomal RNA is filed under the name uncultured bacterium. RNAcentral describes it as "partial 16S ribosomal RNA". It matches the Rfam family "Bacterial small subunit ribosomal RNA", at positions 505 to 796 of the family's 1533-position model. The record is from RNAcentral.